Molecule: long non-coding RNA, 390 nt
Filed under: Gallus gallus (chicken)
Lineage: Eukaryota; Metazoa; Chordata; Aves; Galliformes; Phasianidae
Description: long non-coding RNA NONGGAT001394
Source: RNAcentral
AUGUCAUCUUCAGAGCAUUCUACUGAGAAGGGAUAUGGCUGACCUCUAUGGCUACUCACUGAGAGCUCUAUCACAGUGACUGAGAGGGAAGGACAGGACUUCAUUCUUCAGUGCAAACCAACCCCCCCAGAAGGGCUGCAAAGAACUGAAAUCAAUCUGAAGAAAAGCUAUUAAUAAUUCUUUUCAUAUAGCCUUACCCUGAGGCAGUUGAGCUUCUAAGGCUGAUCCUUAAGAAUGUCACCAAUGUGGUGACACCAUCUCGAUGCAGGUGAUAUUAGCACCUACCAGUACUGGCUUCACGUUCAGGGCAGGUUGAAAGAUCUCCUAUUUGCAUGCCAUUCAUUUCUCAGAGCACUACGUGUGCGUUGUGGUGAUAGGUACUGUGCAAAC